Anthonomus grandis grandis is the source of this 2025-nucleotide long non-coding RNA. RefSeq lists it as uncharacterized. Lineage: Eukaryota; Metazoa; Arthropoda; Insecta; Coleoptera; Curculionidae. The transcript is spliced from 3 exons. The record is from RefSeq and is a predicted model, not a curated record.
AGUAGACGCUUCGCGUCUACUUUAGUCCGUGGGGACCAGUAGAAAUUUUAAAAAUUUUUGUCAGUACUACAAAAAAAAAAUCUCCAAAAUUAUCCAAGGAGUGCCCUAAACACGCAGUGGGGAAGAGACCUGCCGUAUCCUCAUAAGGCUCUGAGUUCAAACCUUAGCCUCGGCAUGGUGCUCUACCCAACUUUUUCUUUUUUUAGUACUUGGAAAACAUUAACAUCUAUAAUAAAUCCAAAAAUCUCAUCCAUUAUUCUCUAAGAGACCAACAUACAAAAUUGACGAAACACAAAGUCACGGUCUCACAACAUGUAAUUAAACGGGCUACACGUGUUUCGCUCUAGUUAGAGCAUCAUCAGGCCUUUAGAAGCCAUCCACACACUUAUGCUGUAACUGAUGAUGCUCUAACUAGAGCGAAACACGUGUAGCCCGUUUAAUUACAUGUUGUGAGACCGUGACUUUGUGUUUUUCUUUGUUUUUCGUCAAUCUAUAGUAAAUACAGAGAGAAAAGGAAAGGUCUUAUUAUAUAUUAUAAUCAAAAAUAAAUUUCAUUGAAAUAUUACUAACUUAUUUCUGGGUAUCAUGCUUCAGAGAACCAUGAUGUGUUACAAUACGCUCCGCUCUUUAAUUUUAGUUUAGUAGAAAAUAUUCUCAAAACCUACAUAUAUCAAAAUUAUGUCAGGGUUCUAAAAUGAAUCGGUAAUAAAAUCGUAAACCAGAUCAACAUUGGAAAUAAUUUAAAAAAUUUGCUUUGGUCCGAUUGAAAAAAGUACUAUACUACCAAAUAGUUACAUCUAUUCUGUAGCAAUAAAAGUUAUAAAAUUCUGUCUAUUAUUAAUUUUAAUAUUAUAAAGUGUAUCGUUUAACUCUUAGCCAUUAUUUAUAAUUUAAUUGUUAAUUAUGCCUAAAAAAACGAAUUAACAACUUUGGUAUUGUUUGGAAGGUAAACAGCUUAAUUCCUUUAUGUAAAGCCACCUUAACAUGUUUUUGCAUAAUUCUGACUCACGUUGGUUGCUAUCGGGCUUAAGCCAUAAAAAUCGAAGAAAAAAAGAAGAAGACGAAGAGACUUUCACUUGUCAUUUCAAUGUCACUUUCCGGCCCACAAGCAUAAACGCCACCGGCAACGGAAGUUCCCAAAAUCCAAACAAAUGUUGGAAGAUAUUUUUAAGUCUCCGCAUCUUUCUUACUUUCCUAUAUGAAAAUAAAAUGUAAGUAUCACAAUUACACACAUACAAGUUUUUUUUUUUAAUUCAGUUUCAUAAUUACCAAUUUUUAGUGAAUAAUCCUGAAAUUUAUGAAAAUACAUACAUUUUAAGGUUAUGUCAUAAUGUUUUGAUUGUUAUAUUUGAUUUUGUUUUUGUUAUUUUAGUGGACUACACCAACAAAGGUUAUGUGUUUUGCACCAGAUUGAAAGCAUCAUAGCGAAAAACGGACCUGUCAUAUCUUUAAAUUUUCAAAAGAGCCCCUGGAAAAAGAAAAAUGAAUAUCUUUGCCAAGGAAUAGGUACUAAGGCAAAUGGAUAAAAAACCUUCAGUCCAUGCAUUGGUAUGUAAUUGUUGACAAAAAUACAAUGAAUGGCCUCACUACUUUUCCACAUGCAAAGAGGUUAACCAAGGAGAAAUUAAAGAAAUUGUCAAAAACCUAGGUAAAUACAGAAUUGCUUAGUACAAACAUAUCUAUACCCAGUACAAGUUCGUCCACUUCUUUGAAGCAUGGUACUUCAAACAGAGACACUGUCAACAAUUUUGUAGAAGGUGAGCCGGUGUCAAAUUCCAGUAAGGGACAUGAUUUCAAUUUUGCACCAACAGCAGAGCUAAAAUUCAUUUUGCCGCAAAAAACUGGAGGAUGUGAAAGAAAAAAGUGCAGAAGUUAAAAUUAAGUUUUUCAUAUGAGCACAUAAAAAAUAAUCAUGACAAAGUUCAGUUGUAUACAGGUUUGACAUGUAAUAAAUAUUUUUGUAAUCUUAUUAAGUUAAUUAGUUUUAUAUAUUAUUUAAAUAAUAAUUGUAUACUUCACAUAGAA